Esox lucius (northern pike) is the source of this 398-nucleotide long non-coding RNA. Lineage: Eukaryota; Metazoa; Chordata; Actinopteri; Esociformes; Esocidae. The record is from Ensembl.
CAAAGACUCCACAAGCUGGGCUUCAUGUUGGAAUCUAGAGCCUUUCUGUUAGUAACCACUACUUUUCACUGCCUGAAAAGAUGUACGAGCGACACAAGCGGAGGUAUAGUCUGCGUGGAAAGGGGGAGAGAGCAGUGGAUGUCGUUUUGAUAAAGAUCCACACAGAGAAGGAGACAUUCUACCCGGUCCAGCCCUGCUCAGAGCCCACAAUACAGGAAACAUCCACCAUCCCAGAAUGCACAGAAUGCCCAGAGACCCCAUGCUCCGACAGUGUUGGAGGGUCAGUGUGUGGAGGCCUGCCAGACUCAGUCAGUGAUGCCGACAGUCUGAUCAGUGCAGAGCUGGGAGAGGACAGCGUCUUCAGAAAGGGAGAGGAGGCUGUGACUGGGCAAAGGGAC